Molecule: ribosomal RNA, 253 nt
Filed under: uncultured bacterium
Lineage: Bacteria
Description: partial 16S ribosomal RNA
Rfam family: Bacterial small subunit ribosomal RNA
Source: RNAcentral
UACGGGGGGGGUAAGCGUUGUUCGGAAUUACUGGGCGUAAAGGGCUCGUAGGCGGCCAACUAAGUCAGACGUGAAAUCCCUCAGCUUAACUGGGGAACUGCGUCUGAUACUGGAUGGCUUGGAUUCGGGAGAGGAAUGCGGAAUUCCAGGUGUAGCGGUGAAGUGCGUAGAUAUCUGGAGGAACACCGGUGGCGAAGGCGGCAUUCUGGACCGACAUUGACGCUGAGGAGCGAAAGCCAGGGGAGCAAACGGG